This 2125-nucleotide ribosomal RNA is filed under the name human gut metagenome. Its description in RNAcentral is "bacterial LSU rRNA". It matches the Rfam family "Bacterial large subunit ribosomal RNA", at positions 313 to 2449 of the family's 2925-position model. The record is from RNAcentral.
UUGAUGAAAUAAAUGAAAUGGAACACCUUGGAAAAUGUGAUCAUAGAGGGUGAUAAUCCCGUACAUGCAAGUUUAUGAAUCAUAGCAGACUCCUGAGUAAGUCGGGACACGUGUAAUCCUGACCGAAUCCGCCGGGACCAUCCGGCAAGGCUAAAUACUCCUGAGAGACCGAUAGUGAACCAGUACCGUGAGGGAAAGGUGAAAAGCACUUCGAACAGAAGAGUGAAAUAGUUCCUGAACCCAUACGCCUACAAGCUGUCGGAGCCGCUUCGUGCGGUGACGGCGUGCCUUUUGCAUAAUGAGCCUACGAGUUACUCAUCACCAGCGAGGUUAAGUACUUCAGGUACGUAAGCCGAAGCGAAAGCGAGUCUGAAUAGGGCGUCAAGUUGGUGGUGGUAGACGCGAAACCUUAGUGAUCUACCCAUGGGCAGGGUGAAGGUUUGGUAACACAAACUGGAGGCCCGAACCGGUAAACGUUGAAAAGUUUUCGGAUGACCUGUGGGUAGGGGUGAAAGGCCAAUCAAACUGGGAAAUAGCUCGUACUCUCCGAAAUGCAUUUAGGUGCAGCCUCUGUUGUUUUGUUCUAGAGGUAAAGCUACUGAUUGGAUGCGAGGGCUUCACCGCCUAUCAAAUCCGGCCAAACUCCGAAUGCUAGAACAUGAAGACAGGGAGUGAGCCAGCGGGUGCUAAGGUCCGUUGACGAAAGAGGGAGAACUCAGACCAUCAGCUAAGGUCCCCAAUUAUAUGCUAAGUUGGAAUAAAAACGGGGUGGGACUGCUUAGACAGCUAGGAUGUUGGCUUGGAAGCAGCCAUUCAUUUAAAGAGUGCGUAACAGCUCACUAGUCGAGCGGUCCUGCAUGGAUAAUACGCGGGCAUAAGCAUAUAACCGAAGCUAUGGGAUUGUAGAUGAUACAAUCGGUAGGAGAGCAUUCCAUUCAGCAUAGAAGCAGUACCGUGAGGUAUUGUGGAGCGGAUGGAAAAGCAAAUGUAGGCAUAAGUAACGAUAAUGCGGGUGAGAACCCCGCACGCCGAAAGAUCAAGGAUUCCCCGGCAAUGUCAAUCAUCCGGGGGUAAGUCGGAUCCUAAGGGUAAGCCGAGUGGCGAUCCCGAUGGUAAACAGGUUAAUAUUCCUGUACUGAUCAUAACUGCGAUGCAGCGACGCAGAGGUGACACUGCUGCGUACUGACGGAAUAGUACGUUGAAACCCGUAUUCUUUGAUACCGGUAGUGAAGCACGCCGGUAGAGAUGAAAGGUGAUAGUACCGCAAUGCUUCGGUUGCGCGGAUAAUGCAGGUAAGCUGACUGCCAAGAAAACCUGCUAAGCUUCAGGUAAUGAUCAUCCGUACUGUAAACGGACACACGUGAUCAGGUAGAAAAUACUAAGGCGCUCGAGAGAUUCAUGGUUAAGGAACUAGGCAAAAUGGUCCUGUAACUUCGGGAUAAAGGACGCUCUUGUGAAAGAGCCGCAGAUAAUAGGCCCAGGCGACUGUUUACCAAAAACACAUGGCUAUGCUAAUUCGCAAGAAGAUGUAUAUGGCCUGACACCUGCCCGGUGCCGGAAGGUUAAGAGGAGAGCUCAGAUGUAAGUCGAAGGUUUGAAUUGAAGCCCCGGUAAACGGCGGCCGUAACUAUAACGGUCCUAAGGUAGCGAAAUUCCUUGUCGGGUAAGUUCCGACCUGCACGAAUGGUGUAACGAUCUGGGUACUGUCUCAACCAUGAGCUCGGUGAAAUUGUAGUUCCGGUGAAGAUGCCGGAUACCCGCAACGGGACGGAAAGACCCCGUGAACCUUUACUGCAGCUUUGCAUUGAUUUUGGGUAACAGAUGUGUAGGAUAGGUCGGAGGCUUUGAUGCUGCGUCGUCAGGCGUAGAGUAGCCGUCGUUGAAAUACGACCCUUUUGUUAUCUGAGGUCUAAUCCCGUUAGGGAGACAUUGCAUGGUGGGUAGUUUGACUGGGGUGGUCGCCUCCAAAAGUGUAACGGAGGCUUCUCAAGGUACCCUCAAGGCGUUUGGUAAUCGUCUGCAGAGUGCAAUGGCAUAAGGGUGCUUGACUGUGAGACCGACACGUCGAUCAGGUUGGAAACAAGAGCAUAGUGAUCCGGUGGUUCCGCAUGGAAGGGCCAUCGCU